RNAcentral lists this ribosomal RNA (407 nucleotides) under uncultured bacterium. Its description in RNAcentral is "partial 16S ribosomal RNA". It matches the Rfam family "Bacterial small subunit ribosomal RNA", at positions 30 to 526 of the family's 1533-position model. The record is from RNAcentral.
AUUGAACGCUAGCGGGAUGCCUUACACAUGCAAGUCGAACGGAGUGGCGCACGGGUGAGUAAUGUAUCGGAACGUGCACAGUAGAGGGGGCUAACUACGCGAAAGCGUAGCUAAUACCGCAUACUAUUGGAGCGGCCGAUAUCGGAUUAGCUAGUUGGUGGGGUAACGGCUCACCAAGGCGACGACCCGUAGCUGGUUUGAGAGGACGACCAGCCACUCUGGGACUGAGACACGGCCCAUACUCCUACGGGAGGCAGCAGUGGGGAAUUUUGGACAAUGGGGGAAACCCCGAUCCAGCCAUCCCGCGUGUGCGAUGAAGGCCUUCGGGUUGUAAAGCACGUUUGGCAGGAAAGCGGUACCUGCAGAAUAAGCACCGGCUAACUACGUGCCAGCCGCCGCGGUAAUAC